Molecule: ribosomal RNA, 429 nt
Filed under: Bacillota bacterium
Lineage: Bacteria; Bacillati; Bacillota
Description: Firmicutes bacterium partial 16S ribosomal RNA
Rfam family: Bacterial small subunit ribosomal RNA
Source: RNAcentral
UAGGGAAUCUUCCGCAAUGGACGCAAGUCUGACGGAGCAACGCCGCGUGUGUGAAGAAGGUCUUCGGAUCGUAAAGCACUGUUAUUAGAGAAGAACAACCGGUAGAGUAACUGUUACCGGCUUGACGGUAUCUAACCAGAAAGCCACGGCUAACUACGUGCCAGCAGCCGCGGUAAUACGUAGGUGGCAAGCGUUGUCCGGAUUUAUUGGGCGUAAAGGGAGCGCAGGCGGUGAUUUAAGUCUGAUGUGAAAGCCCACGGCUCAACCGUGGAAGGUCAUUGGAAACUGGAUCACUUGAGUGCAGAAGAGGAAAGUGGAAUUCCAUGUGUAGCGGUGAAAUGCGUAGAUAUAUGGAGGAACACCAGUGGCGAAGGCGACUUUCUGGUCUGUAACUGACGCUGAGGCUCGAAAGCAUGGGGAGCAAACAGG